UACGUAGGGGGCAAGCGUUGUCCGGAAUCAUUGGGCGUAAAGAGCGCGUAGGCGGUCCGGUAAGUCGGUUGUGAAAACUGGGGGUUCAACCCUCAGAGGCCGACCGAUACUGCCGGGCUAGAGUCCGGAAGAGGCGAGUGGAAUUCCUGGUGUAGCGGUGAAAUGCGCAGAUAUCAGGAGGAACACCAAUGGCGAAGGCAGCUCGCUGGGACGGUACUGACGCUGAGGCGCGAAAGCGUGGGGAGCAAACAGG
RNAcentral lists this ribosomal RNA (253 nucleotides) under uncultured bacterium. Its description in RNAcentral is "partial 16S ribosomal RNA". It matches the Rfam family "Bacterial small subunit ribosomal RNA", at positions 524 to 776 of the family's 1533-position model. The record is from RNAcentral.